Molecule: long non-coding RNA, 16256 nt
Filed under: Lactuca sativa (garden lettuce)
Lineage: Eukaryota; Viridiplantae; Streptophyta; Magnoliopsida; Asterales; Asteraceae
Description: long non-coding RNA (LSAT_LNC004978)
Source: RNAcentral
GUAAAACAAGUAUAUUAUAGUAGGUUAGAAACUCAUUUUUUGGAAAUAUGAUUAUCGACUAGACAUAACUCUUUCUUUAUCUACACCAUUAAGUUUCAUGAGUCCGACCAUAAACUUUUGCCUAUAAAUAUCGAAUUUAGAUUGACUUAAGUUUAGAUUGACUUAAGUGUUUAACUGUUAAGUGGAUGGAGGUUUUCCUUCCCAACCCACUCAACCCAUUGCCAUCUUAUUUUUUUUCCCCUCUCACUUCUAUAUUUCCUAACCCACAACAUAUGAAAAUCAUAUCUUUUCCACCACUCAACCCACUUGUCAUAUCAUUUUUUUAUUUAAUUAAAUUAAAAAAUAUAAAUAAAAUAAAAUAUAACAUUUUUUAUUCAAAAAUAAAAGUUUGCUAAUUUNNNNNNNNNNNNNNNNNNNNNNNNNNNNNNNNUUGGAGGCCCCAACUUGUCGAGUGGAGGCAAAACUUGGACGCGGGUGGAAGAAUCUACUCGCCGAGUCAGAAGCCCCUACUCGACGAGUAGACUUGUCUGGAUGAAACCCUAAAUUUAAAGGUUUGCACCAUAUUUAAACACAUUCAGUGGCAUCCACUCCAGCCUCCAUCACCCUCAGACCCCAUUCUCGAAACCCUAAUCAGUUAUGAGUGUUCUUGAGCUAUUUUGGUGCCAUUUUUGUGAUUUGAAGCUUGGACAAGGAAGGAAAGGCUUGGAGGUUCAAGAAGAAGGCAAUAGAUCCCAGAGUCUUGGUUGCAUUUCCAGCUUGUUUGAGGUAAAAAAAGCUUCAACCUUGACUUCCCAUUUGUUAGAUCUUCUUUAGGGCUUGAAUCUUGUCAUUUUUGGGGAAUUUCUAAGUCACCUUCAGGUUUAGAGCAUAAUGUAUAGUGUUGACUUCAGAUCUUGAACCUUGGAGGGUUCUCAUGGCAUAAAGGUGCCAACUUUAUUGCUAUAAGAGUCCCAUGCACCAUAUAAACCUCUUUUUAAGACCAUUUGAGCCAAAUACCCCAUGCAUGAACGUCAAGUUUGUAACUUUACGUGUAAUAUAGACCCUAAGAGGUCAGAUCUAUGUUUUGAAUGCAUUAAGCCCGAAUGAAGUCGACUGAAUUGUUUUGGACAUGGAGGGACUCGACGAGUCACUCAUUUGACUCGGCGAGUCAGGUUGCAGUUUCCCCCAAACCUCUUCUGAUAAUGGGCAAUGUGUUAAGCUGGAAGAACACUCAGCCAGUUAGGUUCAUUAUGGGCCUGAAGAUCAUGGAACUCAGUGAGUUCAAGACUAAGUUCCAACUACAUGAAAAAGAACUCGCCAAGUCCAGGACUAGACGUGCCUUCUUACAUGAAGAAGGACUCGACGAGUUUAAAGAUGAACUCGACGAGUCAGUUGUAGAAAGUCCCGACUUUGUAUGAAGGAGAACUCAGCAAGUUCUUAAAAGACUUGGCGAGUAGGGUUGAAGCUCUUAGUGUUCUGAGGAUUAUGGAACUCAGCAAGUUGGUGGGUCCACUCGGCGAGUUGAGUCUACCAGAUGUUGACUUUGACCUAGAGUUGACUUUGACCAAGGUGUUGACCUUGACUUUGACUUUGAUAUGAGUUGACCAUGAAAUGGUAAUUAAGGAAGAUUGUUAUGUGUAGGAAUCGAGAGGAGUUGAUCCCGGCAACGAGGACAGUUUAGACACUUUACGACACUGAGGUGAGUUACCUUCCAGUAGAAGUGGGUCUAAGGCACCAAGGUCGGCCCACUAGUAAGAGAUUAUAUUAGAGAUGAUUGUCUUUGUGAUAAUUAUUUGGUAUGUUGCUAUAUGUUAUGAUUAUGUUCUAGGAUGCUAAAUGUGUUAGUAAUAUUAGGGGCAGAACAGUCCCCAGUUACAAUUUGGAAGAUACCGAAGGGGUAGAAAGCACUCAUGCAUGCCUAGAUAUAUGUUCAUGAUAUGUUAUUAUGUGGUAGUGGUAGGGGUGAAAUAGUCCUCACUUGCUGGUUGAAAGAUACCGAAGGGGAGGUUAGCUCCCGACUACCGGUUGAAAGAUACCGAAUGAGAGGUUAGCUCAUAGCUACCAGUUGUAAGAUACCGAAGGGGAGGUUAGCUCCUGGUUACCGGUUGUAAGAUACUGAAGGGGAGACCAGUUCCUAGUUAUGUCAGUUAGAUACCGGUUGAAAGAUACCGAUGGACAGACCUUAUGUGGUAUGAUGGGGGAACUCACUAAGCUUCGUGCUUAUAGUUUUCAGUUUUGUUUCAGGUACCUCUCAGCGAAGGGGAAGAAGCUGGCGUGGUAGCUGCACAUCACACACCCACACACAGGAUUUCCACACCAUGACAUUCUUGGGAUUGUACUCUGAUGUUAUUAUUGUUUUCAUGAUAUAACUUUGAGACAUGUGACUGUGGUUUUGAUGAAAUGAUAUGACUUGAUGAUAUUUUCUUAUAAAUGGUUUUCUAAAUUGUUGUACUAAAAUUAAAUUUUUGGUCUUCAAAAUUUGGGAUGUUAUAAUAUAUAUAUAUAUAUAUAUAUAUAUANNNNNNNNNNNNNNNNNNNNNNNNNNNNNNNNNNNNNNNNNNNNNNNGAAUGAAUGAUAAAGAAAAGGUGAAACAAUGAAAUAUUUAACAUGGGAAUUAACACGGCUUCGUGAACCCGUUGAUAAGCAUUAAAACAAGAAACUCACUGAACCCGCUUUUGAAGGGAACAUAAAUCGGCGAUACUGACCAGUAGCUCACUACACCGUUGGCAACCCAAACAACGACUUCGUCCGCCCUUAGAGCAGAGUCUUGGAGAUCUAUCACAAGGUUUGUCUAACAGUUCGUGGUGGCGUUGUCAUAUACGAUAACAUCAAUUAUUAUGAUGGUUUGAGAUGUUUCCGUAAAGUUUUAAUUUGGAUGUUAUUUCCAAAUGUUCAAGGGUGUUAUAUAUAAGCUAAAAAGUAUACCAGAUUACAAAUAAGUUCGAUCAUUAACCAAGAUGUCUUUACCCUAACGGUAAGAUGAGAUGUCCUCUUUCAAUUAAAUUCAAGAUUUAAGUUCCAUCCAGAACAUUUGUGAAAUUCAAGAGUAGUUAAAUCAAAAUUCAAAAUAUAAUGAAAUUCAAAAAACUAAUAAUCCAAUCCAAUAACACAAAUCCAUGAAACCAUAUAUAGUGAGAGUCAAAAAAACACUAGUCGAAAUAUACAAUAUGCGUGUAAAAGAAAAAAAAAAAAUCAUCCACGCGUAUUUAUUACUCAUUGUGUUAAAUCACUAACAUUUUUUUUUCAAUUUUACCGCAUACAUACAUAAGUCUUACACGUAGUGCCGCAGCCCGUAAGGGUCUUAACUGGGCCUAGAAGAAAUGAGCUUUUCGGGUUGUUUGGCAGAUUCAUGUCAAGGUCCGUUUAUGCAUCUCUAAAUGGACUCUUUAAACAUAUCAAGAAUCAUCAACAUCCGUCCAUUCAACCAUUCUGUAGCUGUACAUUCAUAUCUAAUAUCUUACUACUUUUUAUAAGAAAGAAAACUAAAAUCAUCAUCAGACAUUUUGAUCUUUGAAACUGUCAGAAACUCUAAAAAAUUCAAACUUUUGAAACGCUUUCUCUUCAAAACUCAUUCAAGAAUCAUGGCAUGUGAUGGAUCGUUUUCAAAGGCUUUACCUUUUUGGAACGAACAGCCUGGCGAAUCUGGCGUUCAUGCCUCUCCAAAAGUUCAUCAAUUUGAUGGGAUUGAGAUAACAAAGGACCCGAAUACUCAACUUUGUCUUCUUGAUUCUGAUAAAUCUGUAUCCAAAACUUCAAAACUUCAACACCAAAGAAUCAAUCGAAAACCUUCAUGGGAUUCGCUAAAUUCAAAAUAAAAACCAACUUACCAAAUCGAUUUUCUUAAAAAUAGGUAAAUCUUGAGAGGGGUAACCAUCAAAUCGGCCUCUAGAACUGAUUCUUUCAAUCUUUUCUGAAAAAAUUGGUUCUCUUGGAUGUAAUGUUGAAUGUUCUGAUAUGCGACUUUUUGAACUCGAUCUACUGUGUGAUCUUAUAGACGAAGGAUCAUCAAGUCGCCUUCUUGCCCAUGCAAAACCACUUGAACCUGAAACUUGUAAAGGACCCGAAAAUGGAAUCUCUUCAUGGGACCCACGGUUUAUUUUGUUUACACGUGGCUCAAAACCUAUGAUUAUGUCACUUUCUUUAUCAUGAUCUAAACUAAUUCCAUUAAUUUUGUGCCUUACUUCGGUUCUGAUUGGCAAAUUCUGUACAACAAGUCGUUCAAAUAUUAGAAAGUAGACACGCAUACGCAUGAUCAUGUUUAUAUAAUACAUUUAUAUAACAUAUAUAUGUAUAUAUAUAUAUAUACCUCCUCAGGCAUCAAUUUACACAUGCCAUUAGGGUAAUUCCUAUUGAAUCUUCGUGAUGUUUCAGGCUCUCGAUUUCUUUCAACAUGCCUCUUCCUGUAAAAGACAUGAAAAAUCCUCAUAAGGUAACAUCCAUAUUUUUUUUAUUGAUAUUGUAGAAAAAAUACUAUUCACAUUUACCUUCUAGAGUGUUCCCGAUGCUUUGUAUCAAUUUCUUUAGUUGGAGGGUAUUUUGGUAAGCUCGAUGGUUGACAUGCAUAAGGCUUUGUAGUAAAAUACUGUUAAUACCAUAUCAAAGAGUAAGCUUCCAAAAUGUGAGGACUUUGAUUUUUUGUUAUUUCAGCAUUCUAUACUCAUGUUAUUUCAUAUGUGAUGUGAAUAAGUUACCUCAGAUUCAAGGGCAGAAGAGGCGGACCCACGCUUAUAGGGUUCAAUGGAUAACAAAGUCUCUAUAAGAUUUACAGUGUUUUUUGGUAGAUCUUUAAAAGUUUCCCAUAAACAGCUUUUGUAUGGACGUUGUGGUUUAAACAGUGUGGCAUGUGGAAGCUUUGACUUUUUCCAAUAAUCUUCACAUGGUGAUCCACAAAGCUUAAAGAUUUUGUGCAUUUGUUCAACCUGAAGUUACACCACAAAGAAAAUGAUUCCAAGACUUUUCCAUUUUUGUUUCAAGAAACUCUAACUUUGACUUUUGAAAGUCAAGUAUGUAGUAUUUUUACCUCAGUUCUACCUUGAAGAAGAGGUACACCAAGAAGAAGCUCUGCAAACACACACCCUAUACUCCAUAGAUCCACUGAAGCUUCAUAAUCCGUGGACCCCAAUAAAAGUUCAGGAGGCCGAUACCAUAAAGUAACAACUUUACUAGUCAAAGGUCGUUUAUCUUGAGCUAAAUUACAAAAAUUAGCCAACCCAAAAUCACCUAUUUUUAUAAUUCCUUCAUUAUUUACCAAAAGAUUCGCCCCUUUAAUGUCACGAUGCAUUAUUCCUUGUGAAUGACAAUGCUUCAGCCCCGAUAACAAUUGCUUCAUGUAGCACUUUAUCUGUUUCAUCCAAAUCUCAAACUAUAACAAAAAAAAAACAAAAAAAACAAAUUGCAUGUAAUAGCAACGUGCUUUACUCUUCUUAUCAAUAUAGCAACAAGAUAAAGUAUGUUGCUAUUGCAUGUAAUUUUUGACAAUAAUAAAGAUACGAACUUUGCAUGUUACAAACCUGGGAUUCUGUGAAUUUGAUUUUGGGGGAAGAUAAAAGUCCUGAAAUAUCGUGUUCCAUGUACUCAAAGACAAGGUAUAUGCUACAUGAUAACUGUGAGGUUAUUAUCCCAUCUAGUUUCAUGAUAUUUGGAUGAUCAAGUCUUCUAAGAAUCACUAUUUCACGAGCCAUAAAUCGAACACUUUCGGGUUCAAAAUUGUCGAAUCUCACCUUCUUUAGGGCAACUAUCUUUCCCGAUUCUAGAUCACGAGCACGAAAAACACUGCUGUAUGUACCUUGCCCGAUCUAUUGAAACAAUAACGAGAUAUGAAGAACAUCAAUGAUUCGUUGAAGAAGUUAUAAUGAAAACAUACAGUGAAUAAUCUGUUUGUUUGUGUAAAAUGGUGAGGUAAAGUGAUGAACCUUUUCUAAUUUUUCAAAGGAUUCGGCUUUGAGAGGCAACCAACCAUGAAUGGCUUCACCGGCGACUGCAGUGAGCCACGCCGGCCAACCAGCAGCCACCUGCUCUACUUCAACGUAUCUAUGUAAAUUACCCAACCUAAAGCUCACCGACUCACCGCCGCCGAUGGUGAAAUUCGUCCUCCCUGAUUCACCCAACUCGCUCCCAUUCAGCCCUGACUCACUCCUUGUAUUCCCUUUCUUCUUCCUCCGUUUCUUGGUCUCUAAUUGCGCCACCACAUCAUCGCCAUUCCCAUCAAAAUUCCGUCCAGAACCACCCACCGCAUUGUCCCGAAACCCCCCAGAAUGAUCCACCGCCGGCGUCACUGGCACUGUCUGUUUUGAUGUUACACAGCCCAUUUGUCACAGUGCUUCAAGAAACUCUGUAUCCAUGACAAAUAUUUGAGCCGAAAGAAAAUACAAAUCAAACCCAGAUCAAGAAUUAGGACGAUCUUGUUUGAUUCGCAAUCUGGUUUGUAAAGACGACGGAAAAUUCUUCUGAAGUAACUUUUUCUCUUUCUCUUUAUAGAAAUCUACCCCAAAAUUGCAGAAAAUAAGCAAGGGACCGGAUCAAGUAACGAACACAGACAUCCAGUUGCACUACUUUUCAGUGGUCUAAAGACACUAAAUUUAUUGGCCAUUUUCAAAGAUGGCUUGUAUAAAUAUUAGUGAAAAUUUUAUAUAAUUUGACAUUAUUUUCAUUUUCAUUAUGUUGUAGACUUGUGCAAUUUUUUAUGAUAUAUUUUUAUUAGAUCAUUUUUAUAAUAAAUAAUAUUGAUUUUGUGUAACAUUUAUCAGCAGACAUUUUUUUUUGUUUUUAACUAUCUUCCUAGUUUUUAUUAUACAAAACUUUCAAUCCAUAAACUUAUGUUAUAAUGUUGAGAUCAAACUCCAUAACCAAUACUCAUGUCAUCAUAAAAAUGGAAAACUCAUGUCAUCAUAAAAGUGAAAAUCCCAUGUCAUCAUAUGGUUUGCUAGAUGUGGUUACUUGUUUUUUUUUUCUUUGUUCAUCAUAUAUAAAGUAGGGUAAAGGAAAAGGGCUAAAGCGGAAACUUAGUGUGGUAAGCUUUCACUUUUCUCACAUUGGUCAAUGAAAAUCAAUAUCUUUUACAUUUUGACCCCACAAGUUAUGAUAAAUAUUAUCCAAAGCACUAAAUACAUCAUAAAAAGCUUCACAUGAUAAUUGAUGUUUCUACCGACGGGUGUCCACAUUUUAAAUGGAUGGCUAAAAUAAAGCAUUUUAUUGCUACUUUUCAAUAUAUAUGAUUAUACACAUCUCAACUGGGUUUGCUUCUAUUUUUGUGCCAUUUACGUUAGCAUAUAUUUUAGUAACAAAAACUCAACAUAAAUUCAAAAUAUAAUAUAUGAAUAACCUUUUUUUUGAAAUUUUACAAUGGAUUCUUGGUAAAACAAAGUAUGAAAUAAAAAUGAAAGGGAUUACAAAAAAAAAAAGGGUAUAACAACACAUAGUGCAAAUACAACUUAUGCUUGUUUAUAUGUUAGUAUAUCGAUCCAUUGUGACACUAACUUGCAGCCGGUUGUCAUCCUUAUAUCAUAAGUAUAAAAUAAAUUGAUUGAAAUAAUAUAAAAUUAAGCAAGAAAAUUUUUAUAUAAACAUGUUAUAUAUUCCUCAAUAAAAAAAUAAAAGUUUUUUACAUGUNNNNNNNNNNNNNNNNNNNNNNNNNNNNNNNNNNNNNNNNNNNNNNNNNNNNNNNNNNNNNNNNNNNNNNNNNNNNNNNNACAUAAGAAAUUAUCUUCAAUGGCGAAAAACAACAAGUGGCACCAGAAGAAAAAAAAUUGCUGCAUAUGCCUGAAAAAAAGAGCUGCAUUCGUCUAGAAAUGGGUUGCAUAAUGUCCUAGAGCUUAAUAUGUAAUAUAGAAAAUAACACUUUAUUGAAUGUAUAAUGGAAGAUCUACUUUAUAAAAUAUUUCCAAUUAUAUUAAAAAUAAGUUAUGAUAAAAAAAAUGUUUUAAAAGCCAUUUUUUGUAUUUUAUAAAAUUAUAAGUAAAAAAAAUAAAAAAUAAAAAAAACCUAAGAGGUGAACUUUAUUCUCCAAAUAAAUGCUUUAUUAUAUAUAUUAACUUAUGAUAUUUUAUAAUUUUCAUAAAAAAAAGUUGGUUAAAGGACCGUAUUUUAUUUUAUAAAAAAUUGGUUUAGACAUACUUCAAAGUGGCCAUGUUAUACUUCUAAUGACUUUUUUUUUUUUGAAAGGUAGGGUUAAUAUUUUCCUAGGCUUGAACCUAGUACCUCAUGGUUAGAAGCUUCAAAUUAGACAUUUUGUUAACCAAGUGAACUAACCCCAACUUAUGCUUCUAAGACCAUCUUUAAUGGUAGUUUAAUGGGGAGUUUAAUCCCAUUAAACUCAAAAUUCUCAUUGUAGGUUAAUGACAUGGCACUCAAUAGAAUGGGGAGUUCAAUCCCCAUUGAACUCCACACUCUCUCUCCUCUCACACACAUAUAAAUGAUGUGGCAAUCCAUUAAAUUGUAUUGGGUUUAAUGGAGUGUAGAGUUUAAUAGGUAAAAUUGUAUUGUAAGUGGAAUGUACAUGUGGCAAUCCAUUGAACUCAUUUGAGUUCAAUGCAUUGAAGAUGGCCUAAUGACUAAUUGGUAUGUACUAUUACCACUUAGACAUAAUGGCAUUCUAAUAUUACAUGUAUAACAAUCAUAAAUGGCUUGAGAGGGAUCUUAGUUAGAGGAUCUGUGACUUCAGUGGGGAUUUUAUAAAUCUUAACAUCAUCUGUGUCAACAAUAACACAUGAGAUAAUAUUUCAUGAAAGUUUGCAUGAAUGUUGUCACAAAGAAUUUGAAUUGGACUUUAGUUACUGAUUGUGACUCUAUCGAUCCACAAUAAACUUCUUGAUCCAAACAACUUCCUUCGACGCAUCACAUGUUGCUUGGGACUUGAAGUAAUCAUAGUCAAUAUUUGAUGUUAAUGUUGUGUAACACAAUUCCUCAUUAAGGCCUUUUUUUGCUAAAAAUGUAUCUUUAGCACUUCAUAAGUAUUUCAUGAGUGUGGUAUUACAUGUUUUUAUCCGUGAAUUAUGCAAAUCUUCCAUCAUUUUGAUAUGAUUUUUACAACUUCAUUGAUAUAAAAGAGGACCUUGCCUGGGACUUAAAGUCGCCAUAGUCAAUUUGGAAGUUCAUGUUGUGUGACACGUCCUCAUCGAGACCAUUAUUUACUAAAAAUGUGUCUUUAGCACUUCAUAAGUACUUAGUGUGUUAGGUAUUAUAAGUUUUUAUCCUUGAAUUACAUAACUAGAAUGGAAUCAGUGCGCCUUUGGCGCUGUGGUUUUGGAAUUAAACUGCAUCACAGUUACGUAAGACUUAGACAUAGCAACAAAAUAUUUACAACAUCAGAUUUCUUGCAAAAGGACAGUUACAUACCAACAUAAUAUUCAUAGCAAAAGAUUACUUCCUUAAGGGUUGCAUAGGUACAUAUUGUUUAUUUAUAGUAGAACAUCACUAAAUAGAUAAACAUAUUACUUAUAAGGAUGUUUGUCUUCAGGGAGUUUCUUGAUUUGUUGUUUGAGAUUGUUGAUAAGGACGUCAUAUUUUUCCUGCAUUUCAUGAAUGGUGUUGGUCAUUUUUGAUGUCUCGUAGUGGUUGUCAAGCAACACAUGUUACGUAGUGUUUGAACAUCAACGUCGUCACCGUGAUUUGUUAUGUAUAGUCGGAUAUUUUUGUCAAUUGUGAAACUUUCUUCUAACCUCGAUUGAGUUGCUUCAAGUAUGUCUGCAAUUUCUCUAAGGAAGUCGAUCAUAAUCAUCAAAGUGUUAUUGAAAUAUGUACUAUUCAUUUUGAUAUUUAUGAUGCGAUGUGGUUUAAAUUUAGUUUUCAAAGUUACAAUUUAUAUGUGUGGUAUAUUGUCAUUUUGUGCAUGUAGAUAAUGUAAGUUAUAGUUAUAGACAUCCAUGUGUGAUGUUUUCCUGUUUGUAGCAUUGCUUAUUGAUUAAUUGCAAAGUAAUCGAGAAUAGUACGUGGCUUGUUAUGCAGUGGGUUGGUAACAAAUGUUAUAGUAGGUUACAGUUGAAGAUUAUUAUUAUAUGAUGACAACUUUAAGUAAGUAAAAAACAAUAAUAGUAAAUAAAAUUUAUAAAAACUUAUAAACGUGUGUGUGGUUAGUUACAUAGAAAAAUUUAGUUGGAAUAUUACUUUCAUGUUUUCUAAUAAUAUUUUUUUAUUUAGGUCAUAUUAAUUUAGUUUAUAUGAAUAUGUAAAAAAAAUUUAACUGACUCUUACUGUGAUGUUGUAUAAAUAUAUAUUUUUGCUUUACUUAAAAUCAAUUACGUUUUUUUUUUAUUAUUUUAUAGAAAAGGUGAACAGUAAGCUGUUAUAGGUUGUAGUUGAUAAGAUAUUAAUAAAGAAAAGAAACAGAAGGCAAGAUAUGUGCCCCAAAAUGAAAAGGCGAAGACUCCCAUGUGCAAUGAAGAAAGAGAAGAAAAUAUAUUGUUCACGAAAGUUUUAAGCUUUUAUGUUAUAUAUAAUUCCACGGGAAGGCAUGAUUGACUUGGGCCACGACCCAUAUCAUCAUUCUAAAGGGGCAGUUGUUUUGGGUCAAAACUAGUUCCUUCCGUUCCAAAAUUAUUGUCAACCUUACUAUUUUAGUUUGUUCCAAAAUUACUGUCCACUACUACCAAAAGUAGAUAUACAUUUUUACCAUAUUACCCCUAACAUUUAAUAAAGUAAACUUCAAUAAUUACAAAUGCACAUUUCCUAUUGUUUUUAGAAAAUGGCAAGAUGAUCAUUUUACUCAAAAAGACAAAACUAAUGAUUUUUUUUCUUAAUCUUUGUAUUUUUUUUCUGUGGACAAUAAUUUUGGGACGGAGGGAGUAUGAAUCUGGACUUGAAAUUUUGUCUUCAAUCUUCACCUGAUCGUAACUCAACGUCGUCACAGCAUGAUGAUCAAAUAUGGGAAAGAUGUCCAAUAUUUGUCUAUUUUUAUAUCUAUGUAUCUUCCAAGUAUUUCUUCAUAGGCAUGCUACUUUAGGACACAAAAAUAUGUCCACAUUAUACUCUGACAUGCUCAAAAUACAUACAACAGCAAGAAAACAGACCUUGAUAUUUUUCAUUAGUAAUCUGAAGAAAUUGGUUUAUUGUCAUAAUCAGAUUUAUAGUAGAAUUUAAUAAAAUGAGGCAUUUUCAUUAUUCUGAAACAUAUGUAAAUGGUAGCAAAACUGGAAUUGAUAUCUUUUCAAUUGUUGAUCUAAUAUUAUCAAGUAAAGCUUUAGAGGUACCUUGAUGAACAAACCAAGUUGAAAAUGAAGGUUGAUGAUGUUGAUUGUUGAAUGCAUAAAAUGAGGAACAAAAAUAUCCACUGUGAAAAGAUGUUAGAUGUUAUGGAAAUUGAGAAUUCAGGCAAAAUAUCAAGCACAAAGUGUGUAUCUGUGAUACAAAUUUGCAGACAAAACUUAUACAAUAAAGACCAACAAUAAUCAUACCAUAAGAUCCGAGUGAAUGGAUUUAUGAAUAUCUUUAGCUCAUUUUUUGUUACUUUGAAAUUGGGACCCACCCACAAAAUAAAAAAAUAAAAAAAGAUGACUGUCUCAAGGCAAGGUACAGACAGGUGUAUGGUCUUUAGGCUUGUACUUGCCAAGCAAUUCAUCGAUGCUUCUGCAACGACAUUGAUUCCCUGGACGAAUUACAUCGCCAUAAACUGCCAUUUCAAUGAUGUCCAACUCCUUUUCUGUAAACCAUAUCAUGUCAUUGUUACUAGAUACAGUCAGUUAACUUUGUAUAAAAUAAGCAUUUUUUCCUUGGAUAUUAUCUCAACACAUUUCAAUUCAUGAUCAAUGUGGGGGGAUGUGAGGGAGAAGAAAUACCAGUGAAGUUGAUAUCACAAGAGUAACCACGCAACUGUGUCUUGUCAAGAUGAUCCUUGUCCGACUUGGUUCUAUUUACCCUCGUUUGAAGAAUCUGACAAUUUUCAACUACCGAUUCACCACCUACAAAAUCAAUCACACAAUUUUAGCUUCUACAAAUUUUGAUGGAUUUUCUUCCACAACUCCCUAAGCAUCAAAGGCUAUGCAUCACAACAGCGGAUCAAUAUUUGAGAAGCUUACAGAGUUAGUUGUAAAGACCUUUCGAGAAGGGGAUGAUGUGAUCGUAUUCAAAGCAGAGACAUCCCUGACAGUUGCCGAAGCGCUUACAGACGACGUUGCCCGCGGCAUCUUUACGCCAUCGCUCCGGGUGUCUUCCAGGGACAAUCUCGGCUUUGGCCCAGCACAGUUUUUUGGUCAUGGAGUCAAAGAAUCUCGGUCUCUCCUCCUUCCCGUUGUUACUAUUAUCGCCACCGCCACGAUGCCGCUGCGGCGAUGAGGGGGCAGGAGAACUAGAGCUCAUGUUGCCUCUCUCCGGCCUCUCCUCUAUGAAAUUGGAGGGGACUGCUGAAAUUGGGAUGGAAGGUGUUCGAAUAAAUGCCCCAAAGAACUCCUUUUCUUUCGAGGGGCAACAAUGCAUCAUUGCAUAAUUAUGCAGCCACGAGUAAAUUACAUUUUCGGUCCUUCAGUAUAGUUUAGUUUUCCAAUUUUGGUUUUUAAAUUCUUAAAAUUUUUACUUUUGGUCCUCAAUUUUAAGAUUUUUGGUCCAUUUUGGUCCUCAUUCGGGGUUUUCUUUUAUGUAAAAGCUUUGUACUUCUCUUGAUAAAACGCAAACUCAAUGUUUCUAUGAUUUGUGCAAAUAUUUAACUUGUAGAUAGAUCAAUUUAUUUGCCAAAGCAUUCAACAUCAAUUACCAAAAAUAAUGGCCUUCAAUUUUAGCAGCUCAAAACGAAAUUGGAACUACAAAUUUAACUAAAAAAAGCCCAAGAAAAUAAACAUUGCUCUCGAAAACACGAGGGAAAUGAAUCGUAAUAAAACCAUCACACAAUAAUUAUUUAAUCAUACUAAAUAUACACAUUCGAAUUGAGUAACAUUUAUUUACUCAAAGUACGAUAUUCUUUUAAUAUAUGACUAGUUUAACCAGAAACUUUAUGUAAAUGUGCACAAGCAUCAAGAAACUUCAAAACCGACUCAACAAGCUCUGCAAAUUUACCACACGCUACAGUAGUAUCCAAAACUAGCUUCGGCACAUCCCCUACAUCAUAAUCGGUGCAUCCGUUAUAACCCUCCAACAACCUUUCCAUAUCCCGCCAUGUGGCGGGCUUAUGCCAACUGCCACCACAACCGUCUUUCCCUCUAUUCUCAAGCCGACGACGCCACUCACUCUCGUCUUUCGGCUUGCACUCAACCACAACAAGCUGAGAGCCGUCAAAAGAAUCGGNNNNNNNNNNNNNNNNNNNNNNNNNNNNNNNNNNNNNNNNNNNNNNNNNNNNNNNNNNNNNNNNNNNNNNNNNNNNNNNNNNNNNNNNNNNNNNNNNNNNNNNNNNNNNNNNNNNUUCAACUAGCCGAUCCAGAUGACUCUUGCGGGAAAGAGGCGAGUCAAUGACAACACUCAGGCCAAGACUGAGUUGGGUCUCGACCAUUCGCCAAAGUACUUGAUAAGAAAGAUCAUUAAGGAGUUUAGAAACAGUGUGUGACUCCACUACUUCUGCUUCGAUAGCAGAAGUGGAGUCACGUAUGUCGUCUUUGUCAAGGAGCGGGCAUCUUAAUGAUGCGGCUAUGAAGCGGGCAAGCGUUGUUUUGCCCGUGCCUGGGUGUCCCUUCAUUGCUACUAUGACUCUUCUCGGUCGACCUUCUUCGUGUUCCAUUGGAGAUUAAUUUAAUUUCUAUUGUUAUAUAGAUUCAGUGUACUAUUUUCCUUUAGCACGAAUAGUUGGGGAUUUUAUAGGGGCGAGGUGAAUGUUACAUGUCCUUUUCCGCUCAUCUCAGAUAGUUUUCUUUAUAGAUAAAAAAUACAUUUAUUUACUUUUUUUUUUUUAAUUCCAUCUUAUUUCCCUAGCUUCGGUGAAUAAAUAUCAGAAUAAUUUCUCGUUUUCUUAAUCUUCGGAUAAGGUGACGAGGUGACAAGAGAAUCUUGACGUUUUGUGAAAGGAGUUUGACAAGUGUUGUUAAUGAUAAGCUUUGCCAGGUCAGAACGAUGGUGACAAAGAUUAAUAUGAAUAUUUACAAAAUUGGUCAUUGAUUUAUAGGAUAUUUUUCACAAUAAACCCACAACUAUCAACUCUAACACCUUGGUCCUCACUAUAUUUGAAGUUCGUAAUGCACUUGGAAGCUAGUCAUCGACGAUUGUAAAAGAAAUUCACAGGAGUUAAAGAACAGAAAUAAGCAAAUAGAGAAAUCAGAACCCGGAUCUAAAGGACUUGAAUUUGGGUUUUUUUCUUUGUGUCAUGUCUUACCGGUGAUUAUGGGUCUGUUUGGGUAUGGCCCUUAUUUUAGAUUUUUCAUAUUGUUAUCAAAUUUUAAUACUAAUAAAUCAAAAGGAUGCAUUUAUAUAGCUUCUAUGUUAUUUAUUGUAAUUUAAAUAUUCAAUAGUUGAGAUAUAACAAGGUAAUACUUUAGCAAUUAUAUAAAAAACAAAAUAAAUAAAUAAAACCAUAGGGGUUUUAUUUAACUUUGCAUCUCUACUUCACGGGUUAGGUUUUUUCUUUGUAUCAGCUGUUGAGUGAAAAGAAACAGUUAUACAAAUUUGAAUGCAUUAAGUCACUUAUCACAUAUGAUAUGCUAAGCUGGUGUUUCUUUGACGUAAUGGGCUAAACUAAAAAAGAAACAGCAGCUAAGCUAGUAUUUCUUUUCUAACNUAUAGGUGUUGCUUAUCUUUAGCUUAACAUAUAAACCAUGUCUUAGUGGGUUAAAUUAAAAAAAUCUGACUUUUUAUGAAUUCAAAAUAAGAAUUUCUAAACCAAAUAAUCCAAAAUAGUAACAUAAGAAUUUCUUUUUCAGACCAAAUAAUCCAAAAUAACAAGAGGAGGUAAAAAUACUUUAUGUUCAUGGUACCCAAACAUAACAGUCAAACAGUAAUACGAAACCCAGGUGGUAGAGUAGAUUGCUACUAUUAUAACAGAAAACAUUCUGCUGAUAAUGCAAGCAACAAGUGUUUAUGGAUUCAUUUAUAGACUUAGUAGAAGUAGAUUACUACUUUGGGCCGAUAUCCUUAAGAGCACAGAUCUGCUCCUCUCCCAUUGCUGACAUCACACUCACCACCAAGUCCUUUCCCUCUGCAAAUCCAUCCUUGAUCUACAAUUCAUCCAUAUAAAAAAAAAAAAAAACACUUCCUUCAAAUCUUCAAAAACAUUUAUAUAUCUAUAUUAAUACAAUCACACAUCAUAACCACAUACCUGAGUCAGGAGAGCAUCAUCAGUUGGGAGCUUGAGGUCAUCUUUAGUGUUUCCAUUUUCAGUCAGCAAACUCACCUAACAGAUUUUCUUUUUUAUCAGUUCCUAUUAUCAUAACUUGAACAAAAAAUACCAAUUAACAAAGCUUGAAUAGAAUGAACCAUACAAAUCCAUCCUCAGAAAUAUCAAUUAGCUGGUAGUCAGUGCGGUUGACAUGAGGAACCUGCAAACAGAUAUUUUAUAAAAAAAAAAAAAGAAGUUAAUUUUAUAAAAGAGACAAAAAGACUGAAAAAAAAAGUGGAUUGAUUACUCACAUCACAGUUAUGGGAUGAGGGAACAAUAUCUUCAAGCUUUUUACCAUUGAAGAUAUCAAUGGCGACAAAGUGACACUUAGCAUGCCCAUGCUUCCCAGUCUUGGAGGUAGAAACUUCAACAACCUGUUACAAUUUAAUGCAUUAAACACAAAAUUUCUAACAAGAUAACAUACUACACGGUUAUAUUAAUCAUUGAGUAAGAUCAGACUCUCAAGAUAUCACCAUACAGCAAUUACCAAUCAGUGAACAAUUGAUACAACCCACAAGAACAAAGAGAUUCAAUGAAAUAGAUCUAGGUCAUAUAACCUAUGGUCAACUCUAAUAGCCCUUACUGUAGCUUCUAAUGAAAAGCUAAAUGCUUUGACACGAAAAUAUCAAAAUAUCGGAAUCAUAGCCACUUUCAACCAAAAAACUCAAACUGAAAUUUCGCAAUAAUCAGACGCACAUCCAAACAUUCCUUGAAUCUAAUAUACACAAAAAGUGAAACCCUAACACUCGAAGUCAAAACCAAAUCAACUCAAACCAGAUGAAGAUAUUAACACGGAAUAGAGAAAAGGAUUCCGCUAAGCGAGAUCAGAACUUAAAAGAUCGAAGCUUAUGAGAAAUAAGUAAACCUUGCAAGCGCGAUUUUUGAUGACGAUGUGGCCGCCCUUGCGGAUAGUACCGGCUUGCUGAGGGUAGGUCUUGGAAGCACCGGCGUCGGCCUUUGAUUCAAACUGAUGCUCUUCGUCCGACAUAGUUUUCCGAUCGAUCGAUAGAUUGAUUGAUUGUUGCGGUUUUUCAAUCGAACUGAAGAGCAAGACGC